RNAcentral lists this long non-coding RNA (234 nucleotides) under Elaeis guineensis (African oil palm). RNAcentral describes it as "long non-coding RNA (EGUI_LNC052040)". Lineage: Eukaryota; Viridiplantae; Streptophyta; Magnoliopsida; Arecales; Arecaceae. The record is from RNAcentral.
CAGCUGUGUGUCUAGUUCUUUGACCUGAGGUGCAUUGACAGUUCAUCUUGAGUGUGUUAUAGUUUGACUACACCAUAACUCGAUCUUCUAGCCAUUCGAAAUUCUGAGGUGUAUGUUGGCUGUAGCAUAUUCAUUGUAGGAACCAGAUUGCACCAAGAUGGGAUCUAUCAAUCUCAGUAGAUGAGAAGAGUAGUCAUAUGAUGAUCGAAAGAUCGAGUCCUUAAGUCCAUGGCC